GACGAACGCUGGCGGCGUGCUUAACACAUGCAAGUCGAACGGAAAGGCCCUUCGGGGUACUCGAGUGGCGAACGGGUGAGUAACACGUGGGUGAUCUGCCCUGCACUUUGGGAUAAGCCUGGGAAACUGGGUCUAAUACCGAAUAGGACCACGCGCUUCAUGGUGUGUGGUGGAAAGCUUUUGCGGUGUGGGAUGGGCCCGCGGCCUAUCAGCUUGUUGGUGGGGUAAUGGCCUACCAAGGCGACGACGGGUAGCCGGCCUGAGAGGGUGACCGGCCACACUGGGACUGAGAUACGGCCCAGACUCCUACGGGAGGCAGCAGUGGGGAAUAUUGCACAAUGGGCGCAAGCCUAAUGCAGCGACGCCGCGUGAGGGAUGACGGCCUUCGGGUUGUAAACCUCUUUCAAUAGGGACGAAGCGCAAGUGACGGUACCUAUAGAAGAAGCACCGGCCAACUACGUG
This 462-nucleotide ribosomal RNA is filed under the name uncultured bacterium. RNAcentral describes it as "partial 16S ribosomal RNA". It matches the Rfam family "Bacterial small subunit ribosomal RNA", at positions 28 to 507 of the family's 1533-position model. The record is from RNAcentral.